Molecule: ribosomal RNA, 801 nt
Filed under: uncultured bacterium
Lineage: Bacteria
Description: bacterial SSU rRNA
Rfam family: Bacterial small subunit ribosomal RNA
Source: RNAcentral
UUGCUGCUUCGCUGACGAGUGGCGGACGGGCGAGUAAUGUCUGGGAAACUGCCUGAUGGAGGGGGAUAACUACUGGAAACGGUAGCUAAUACCGCAUAACGUCGCAAGACCAAAGAGGGGGACCUUCGGGCCUCUUGCCAUCGGAUGUGCCCAGAUGGGAUUAGCUAGUAGGUGGGGUAACGGCUCACCUAGGCGACGAUCCCUAGCUGGUCUGAGAGGAUGACCAGCCACACUGGAACUGAGACACGGUCCAGACUCCUACGGGAGGCAGCAGUGGGGAAUAUUGCACAAUGGGCGCAAGCCUGAUGCAGCCAUGCCGCGUGUAUGAAGAAGGCCUUCGGGUUGUAAAGUACUUUCAGCGGGGAGGAAGGCGACAAGGUUAAUAACCUUGUCGAUUGACGUUACCCGCAGAAGAAGCACCGGCUAACUCCGUGCCAGCAGCCGCGGUAAUACGGAGGGUGCAAGCGUUAAUCGGAAUUACUGGGCGUAAAGCGCACGCAGGCGGUCUGUCAAGUCGGAUGUGAAAUCCCCGGGCUCAACCUGGGAACUGCAUUCGAAACUGGCAGGCUAGAGUCUUGUAGAGGGGGGUAGAAUUCCAGGUGUAGCGGUGAAAUGCGUAGAGAUCUGGAGGAAUACCGGUGGCGAAGGCGGCCCCCUGGACAAAGACUGACGCUCAGGUGCGAAAGCGUGGGGAGCAAACAGGGUUAGAUACCCUGGUAGUCCACGCCGUAAACGAUGUCGACUUGGAGGUUGUGCCCUUGAGGCGUGGCUUCCGGAGCUAACGCGUUAAGUCGACCGCCU